This 254-nucleotide ribosomal RNA is filed under the name uncultured bacterium. Its description in RNAcentral is "partial 16S ribosomal RNA". It matches the Rfam family "Bacterial small subunit ribosomal RNA", at positions 524 to 776 of the family's 1533-position model. The record is from RNAcentral.
UACGAGGGGGGCAGGCGUUAUUCAAUCAAACUGGGCGUAAAGCGUUUUUAGGUGGAAUAUUGAGAGCUAACGUCCAAAGUUCAAAAAUUAAUUUUGAAAUGUAUGUUAAGACCAAUUUUCUAGAGUUUAAGAGGGGUGAAUAGUAUUUCUUCAAUAGAGUUAAAAUUCUUAGAAAGAAGAAAGAGGACCAUCGGUGCAAACAAUUCAUCAGCUUUAACUGACACCAAAGGACUAAAGCUUGGGUCGCGAUCGGG